UACGGGGCGAGUCUGAUGCAGCCAUGCCGCGUGUGUGAAGACGGCCUUCGGGUUGUAAAGCUCUUUUUUUGUGAGGAAAGGUUAGUAGUUAAUACCUGCUAACUGUGACGUUAGCAACAGAGAAAGCACCGGCUAACUCCGUGCCAGCAGCCGCGGUAAUACGGACGGUGCGAGCGUUAAUCCGAUUUACUGGGCGUAAAGCGUACGCGGCGGUUGAUUAAACGAGAUGUGAAAGCCCCGGGCUCAACCUGGGAACUGCAUUUCGAACUGGUCAACUAAAGUGUGAUAGAGGGUGGUAUAAUUUCAGGUGUAGCGGUGAAAUGCGUAGAGAUCUGAAAGAAUACCGAUGGCCAAGGCACCCACCUGGGUCAACACUGACGCUCAUGUACGAAAGCGUGCGGAGCAAAUGGGAUUCAUACCCCCUCAGUCA
Molecule: ribosomal RNA, 430 nt
Filed under: uncultured bacterium
Lineage: Bacteria
Description: bacterial SSU rRNA
Rfam family: Bacterial small subunit ribosomal RNA
Source: RNAcentral